CUUAAAGGAAUUGACGGGGACCCGCACAAGCGGUGGAUGAUGUGGUUUAAUUCGAUGCAACGCGAAAAACCUUACCCACCUUUGACAUGUACGGAAUCCUUUAGAGAUAGAGGAGUGCUCGAAAGAGAACCGUAACACAGGUGCUGCAUGGCUGUCGUCAGCUCGUGUCGUGAGAUGUUGGGUUAAGUCCCGCAACGAGCGCAACCCUUGUCAUUAGUUGCUACAUUCAGUUGGGCACUCUAAUGAGACUGCCGGUGACAAACCGGAGGAAGGUGGGGAUGACGUCAAGUCCUCAUGGCCCUUAUAGGUGGGGCUACACACGUCAUACAAUGGAUGGUACAAAGGGUCGCCAACCCGCGAGGGGGAGCCAAUCCCAUAAAGCCAUUCGUAGUCCGGAUCGCAGUCUGCAACUCGACUGCGUGAAGUCGGAAUCGCUAGUAAUCGUGGAUCAGAAUGUCACGGUGAAUACGUUCCCGGGUCUUGUACACACCGCCCGUCACACCAUGGGAGCGGGUUCUGCCAGAAGUAGUUAGCCUAACCGCAAGGAGGGCGAUUACCACGGCAGGGUUCGUGACUGGGGUAAGUCGUAACAAGGGGCCGUUC
Molecule: ribosomal RNA, 603 nt
Filed under: Acidovorax sp. W-O7-6
Lineage: Bacteria; Pseudomonadati; Pseudomonadota; Betaproteobacteria; Burkholderiales; Comamonadaceae
Description: bacterial SSU rRNA
Rfam family: Bacterial small subunit ribosomal RNA
Source: RNAcentral